RNAcentral lists this ribosomal RNA (464 nucleotides) under uncultured bacterium. Its description in RNAcentral is "partial 16S ribosomal RNA". It matches the Rfam family "Bacterial small subunit ribosomal RNA", at positions 339 to 795 of the family's 1533-position model. The record is from RNAcentral.
CUACGGGCGGCAGCAGUGGGGAAUAUUGCACAAUGGGCGCAAGCCUGAUGCAGCCAUGCCGCGUGUAUGAAGAAGGCCUUCGGGUUGUAAAGUACUUUCAGCGGGGAGGAAGGGAGUAAAGUUAAUACCUUUGCUCAUUGACGUUACCCGCAGAAGAAGCACCGGCUAACUCCGUGCCAGCAGCCGCGGUAAUACGGAGGGUACAAGCGUUAAUCGGAAUUACUGGGCGUAAAGCGCACGCAGGCGGUUUGUUAAGUCAGAUGUGAAAUCCCCGGGCUCAACCUGGGAACUGCAUCUGAUACUGGCAAGCUCGAGUCUCGUAGAGGGGGGUAGAAUUCCAGGUGUAGCGGUGAAAUGCGUAGAGAUCUGGAGGAAUACCGGUGGCGAAGGCGGCCCCCUGGACGAAGACUGACGCUCAGGUGCGAAAGCGUGGGGAGCAAACAGGAUUAGAUACCCGGGUAGUC